This 73-nucleotide transfer RNA is filed under the name Haloarcula saliterrae. RNAcentral's name for it is "tRNA-Val". It matches the Rfam family "tRNA". From Rfam's summary of the family: Transfer RNA (tRNA) molecules are approximately 80 nucleotides in length. Their secondary structure includes four short double-helical elements and three loops (D, anti-codon, and T loops). The record is from RNAcentral. RNAcentral also lists the same sequence under 3 other names. Lineage: Archaea; Methanobacteriati; Methanobacteriota; Halobacteria; Halobacteriales; Haloarculaceae.
UGGCAGACAGUCCAGUGGAGUGGACGUGCCGCUCACAUCGGCGAGAUCGCAGGUUCAAAUCCUGCUCUGCCAA